RNAcentral lists this ribosomal RNA (468 nucleotides) under uncultured bacterium. Its description in RNAcentral is "partial 16S ribosomal RNA". It matches the Rfam family "Bacterial small subunit ribosomal RNA", at positions 28 to 507 of the family's 1533-position model. The record is from RNAcentral.
GACGAACGCUGGCGGCGUGCUUAACACAUGCAAGUCGAACGGAAAGGCCCUGCUUUUGUGGGGUGCUCGAGUGGCGAACGGGUGAGUAACACGUGAGUAACCUGCACUUGACUUUGGGAUAACUUCAUGAAACUGGGGCUAAUACCGGAUAGGAGCUCCUGCUGCAUGGUGGGGGUUGGAAAGUUUCGGCGGUUGGGGAUGGACUCGCGGCUUAUCAGCUUGUUGGUGGGGUAGUGGAUUACCAAGGCUUUGACGGGUAGCCGGCCUGAGAGGGUGAGCGGCCACAUUGGGACUGAGAUGCGGCCCAGACUACUCCGGGAGGCAGCAGUGCGGAAUAGUGCACAAUGGGCGGAAGCCUGAUGCAGCAACGCAGCGUGCGGGAUGACGGCAUUCGGGUUGUAUACCGAUUUCGCCUGUCACGAAGUGUGAGUGACGGUAAUGGGUAAAGAAGCUCCGGCUAACUACGUG